AAGGAAUAUUGCUCAAUGGCCGAAAGGCUGAAGCAGCAACGCCGCGUGGAGGAUGAAAUACUUUUGUAUGUAAACUCCUGUAAGGGGGGAAAAAUACACAGUUUAUACUGUGUUGAUUGUACCCCCAGAGUAAGCACCGGCUAACUACGUGCCAGCAGCCGCGGUAAUACGUAGGGUGCUAGAGUUGUCCGGAUUUACUGGGUGUAAAGGGUGCUCAGGUGGGUUUGUAAGUCAGAGGUGAAAUCCCAAAGCUUAACUUUGGAGCUGCCUUUGAUACUGCAAGUCUGGAGUUUGAGAGAGGGCAAUGGAAUAUCUGGUGUAGCAGUGAAAUGCGUAGAUAUCAGAUAGAACACCAAUGGCGAAGGCAGUUGCCUGGCUCAAAACUGACGCUAAAGCACGAAAGUGUGGGGAGCAAAC
This 417-nucleotide ribosomal RNA is filed under the name uncultured bacterium. RNAcentral's name for it is "bacterial SSU rRNA". It matches the Rfam family "Bacterial small subunit ribosomal RNA", at positions 356 to 773 of the family's 1533-position model. The record is from RNAcentral.